GAUGAACGCUGGCGGCGUGCUUAACACAUGCAAGUCGAACGGAAAGGCCCAAGCUUGCUUGGGUGCUCGAGUGGCGAACGGGUGAGUAACACGUGGGUGAUCUGCCCUGCACUUUGGGAUAAGCCUGGGAAACUGGGUCUAAUACCGGAUAGGACCAUCGUUUAGUGUCGGUGGUGGAAAAUUUUUCGGUGUGGGAUGAGCUCGCGGCCUAUCAGCUUGUUGGUGGGGUAAUGGCCUACCAAGGCGUCGACGGGUAGCCGGCCUGAGAGGGUGUACGGCCACAUUGGGACUGAGAGACGGCCCAGACUCCUACGGGAGGCAGCAGUGGGGAAUAUUGCACAAUGGGCGCAAGCCUGAUGCAGCGACGCCGCGUGGGGGAUGACGGCCUUCGGGUUGUAAACUCCUUUCGCCAAGGACGAAGCGUUUUGUGACGGUACUUGGAGAAGAAGCACCGGCUAACUACGUG
RNAcentral lists this ribosomal RNA (466 nucleotides) under uncultured bacterium. RNAcentral's name for it is "partial 16S ribosomal RNA". It matches the Rfam family "Bacterial small subunit ribosomal RNA", at positions 28 to 507 of the family's 1533-position model. The record is from RNAcentral.